Molecule: RNase MRP RNA, 244 nt
Filed under: Hordeum vulgare subsp. vulgare (domesticated barley)
Lineage: Eukaryota; Viridiplantae; Streptophyta; Magnoliopsida; Poales; Poaceae
Description: RNase MRP
Rfam family: RNase MRP
About the family: RNase MRP is an enzymatically active ribonucleoprotein with two distinct roles in eukaryotes. In mitochondria it plays a direct role in the initiation of mitochondrial DNA replication.
Source: Rfam by way of RNAcentral
UAGCCACAGGAUGAAGUGAGCGGGCCUUAAAAAGCCCUGGAAAGUCCCCGAGCCCAUUGCGCAGUGAUGCGCCCACGGAGACGUGGACGGCCCAUGAGCUGGCCUUCCCUGCCUCGGCGGGGGGCUGAGACGAGUGUGGAGCCUAAUUACAGAGGGCUGGCUCUCGGUCAAAUGGCUAAUCUCACAGUUAUUCACUUGGUCCAUGUUAAUGGAUUAACAGAACGGGGCUUACACUCCUGUGGCA